This is a long non-coding RNA of Oncorhynchus tshawytscha (Chinook salmon), 2715 nucleotides long. The record is from Ensembl. NCBI's taxonomy places the organism in Eukaryota, Metazoa, Chordata, Actinopteri, Salmoniformes, Salmonidae.
CCCUUUGCUGCUAUAACAGCCUCCACUCUUCUGGGAAGUUUUUCCACUAGAUGUUGGAACAUUGCUGCUAUAACAGCCUCCACUCUUUUGGGAAGUUUUUCCACUAGAUGUUGGAACAUUGCUGCGGGGACUUGCUUCCAUUCAGCCACAAGAGUAUUAGUGAGGUCGGUCACUGAUGUUGAGGGUGAUUAGGCCUGGCUCGCAGUCGGCGUUCCAAUUCAUCACAAAGAUGUUUUUUGGGGUUGAGGUCAGGGCUCUGUGCAGGCCAGUCAAGUUCUUCCACACCGAUCUUGACUAACCAUUUCUGUAUGGACCUCACUUUAUGCACGGGGGCAUUGUCAUGCUGAAACAGGAAAUGACCUUCCUCAAACUGUUGCCACAAAGUUGGGGGCACAGAAUCGUCUAGAAUGUAAUUGUGUACUGUAGCAUUAAGAUUUCUUUUCACUGGAAGUAAGGGGCCUGAACCAUGAAAAACAGCCCCAGACCAUUAUUCCUCCUCCACCAAACUUUACAGUUGGCACUAUGCGUUCUCCUGGCAUUCUCCAAACCCAGAUUCGUCCGUGGGAUUGCCAGAUGGUGGAGCGUGAUUCAUCACUUCAGAGAACGCGUUUCCACUGCUCCAGAGUCCAAUGGCGGCGAGCUUUACACUACUCCAGCCGACGCUUGGCAUUGCGCAUGGUGAUCUUAGGCUUGUAUGCGGCUGCUCUGCCAUGAAAACCUAUUUCAUGAAGGUCCCGACUAACAGUUACUGUGCUGACGUUGCUUCCAGAAGCAGUUUGGAACUCGUACUGAGUGUUGCGACUGAGGACAGACGACUGUUACGAGCUACGAACUACAGCACUCGACAAUCCCGUUCUGUGAGCUUGUGUGGCCUACCACUUUGCGGCUAAGCCGUUGUUUCCCCUAGACUUGUUCACUUCACAAUAACAGCACUUACAGCACUUGUUAGUGAUGAUUCUGCUAUCAGAGAUGAUCUCCCAUUGGUUGUUGGUGAUCUAGCUGCUAUCAGAGAUGAUCUCCCAUUGGUUGUUGGUGAUCGAGCUGCUAUCAGAGAUGAUCUCCCAUUGGUUGUUGGCGAUCGAGCUGCUAUCAGAGAUGAUCUCCCAUUGGUUGUUGGCGAUCUAGCUGCUGUCAGAGAUGAUCUCCCAUUGGUUGUUGGCGAUCUAGCUGCUAUCAGAGAUGAUCUCCCAUUGGUUGUUGGCGAUCUAGCUGCUGUCAGAGGUGAUCUCCCAUUGGUUGUUGGCGAACGAGCUGCUAUCAGACCUGAUAUCUUCCCCCAUGGUGGUCUGUGGCCAUGUUCUCAACAUUUCAGGCGUCUCAAAUGGCACCCUAUUCCCGAUGUUAUAGUGCACUACUUUUGACCAGGGUCCAUUGGGUAGGGAACUAUAUGGGGGUGCCAUUUGGGAUGUUGCCCACGGCUGCCUCAUACUGUUGUUUUGAUCACUCCCCUCCUGCUGAUACAGGAUUGUAUUCAUUAGGUAUCAAACGGAAGACGACUUGGACUUGUCCAAUAAUAACCGACUGGUUUUGUUUUCAGUUGAAAAAUGUCCUCAAUCAUCGCCUGAUCUCAAUGUUUGUACAUAGAAUAAGUGAUUGUAGGGCCUUUUAAACACAUCUACAAUGAUGAUCUGUCUCUCUCUGAGGAUGGGUGAGGAUUUCAACCAUAAUGAUGACCUGUCUCUCUGAGGAUUUCAACCAUAAUGAUGACCCGUCUCUCUGGGGAUGGGUGUGGAUUUCAACCAUAAUGAUGACCCUUCUCUCUGAGGAUGGGUGCGGAUUUCAACCAUAAUGAUGACCCUUCUCUCUGAGGAUGGGUGCGGAUUUCAACCAUAAUGAUGACCCAUCUCUCUGAGGAUUUCAACCAUAAUGAUGACCCGUCUCUCUGAGGAUUUCAACCAUAAUGAUGACCCGUCUCUCUGAGGAUUUCAACCAUAAUGAUGACCCGUCUCUCUGAGGAUUUCAACCAUAAUGAUGACCCAUCUCUCUGGGGAUUUCAACCAUAAUGAUGACCCGUCUCUCUGAGGAUUUCAACCAUAAUGAUGACCCGUCUCUCUGAGGAUUUCAACCAUAAUGAUGACCCAUCUCUCUGGGGAUUUCAACCAUAAUGAUGACCUGUCUCUCUGAGGAUUUCAACCAUAAUGAUGACCCGUCUCUCUGAGGAUUUCAACCAUAAUGAUGACCCGUCUCUCUGAGGAUUUCAACCAUAAUGAUGACCCGUCUCUCUGAGGAUGGGUGAGGAUUUCAACCAUGAUGACCGACCCGUCUGAUGAUAGGUGAGGAUUUCAACCAUGGUAAAAAAAAAAUGCACACUACUCUUGACCUUCUGAGGUCAUACACCUCAGCAAGAACCUCUGCUGUCACUCCGUAUCUAAUUCUGCAGUCCUGAACUUAGAGGAGUUCCCUUUCUGAUCACAAAACAAUCGCUAGGUGAUGUUAUGAAGGAAGUGGUGCUUCGAUGUUUAAAGGGUUUCCGUCAUAUGUUCUAUUUUUAUUUAUAUAUAUUUUUUUUUUCUUCCCGAAAAUGUUGUAAAUGAAAUGUUGUAUCCAGGUUAUAUUCAACUAGAAGACAUUAUCUGAAAUGUGUGGAAUGUAGAAGUUUACUACCAUUAAUGUCGGCCUAAGCCAAGUUGGCUUCUUUUCUGUCAUCUAUAUUUUUUUAUUAUUAUUCACUUUUGAUACUGUGAAAACCUUUUCAUUCAGAAAGAUUAAAACAUC